AACGAACGCUGGCGGCAUGCCUAACACAUGCAAGUCGAACGAUGCCUUCGGGCAUAGUGGCGCACGGGUGCGUAACGCGUGGGAAUCUGCCUUUCGGUUCGGAAUAACUCAGGGAAACUUGAGCUAAUACCGGAUAACGUCGCAAGACCAAAGAUUUAUCACCGAAAGAUGAGCCCGCGUAGGAUUAGCUAGUUGGUGAGGUAAAGGCUCACCAAGGCGACGAUCCUUAGCUGGUCUGAGAGGAUGAUCAGCCACACUGGGACUGAGACACGGCCCAGACUCCUACGGGAGGCAGCAGUGGGGAAUAUUGGACGAUGGGCGAAAGCCUGAUCCAGCAAUGCCGCGUGAGUGAUGAAGGCCUUAGGGUUGUAAAGCUCUUUUACCCGGGAAGAUAAUGACGGUACCGGGAGAAUAAGCCCCGGCUAACUCCGUG
Molecule: ribosomal RNA, 433 nt
Filed under: uncultured bacterium
Lineage: Bacteria
Description: partial 16S ribosomal RNA
Rfam family: Bacterial small subunit ribosomal RNA
Source: RNAcentral